This is a transfer RNA of Ipomoea nil (Japanese morning glory), 71 nucleotides long. It matches the Rfam family "tRNA". Rfam says of the family: Transfer RNA (tRNA) molecules are approximately 80 nucleotides in length. Their secondary structure includes four short double-helical elements and three loops (D, anti-codon, and T loops). Further hydrogen bonds mediate the characteristic L-shaped molecular structure. tRNAs have two regions of fundamental functional importance: the anti-codon, which is responsible for specific mRNA codon recognition, and the 3' end, to which the tRNAs corresponding amino acid is attached (by aminoacyl-tRNA synthetases). tRNAs cope with the degeneracy of the genetic code in two manners: having more than one tRNA (with a specific anti-codon) for a particular amino acid; and 'wobble' base-pairing, i.e. permitting non-standard base-pairing at the 3rd anti-codon position. NCBI's taxonomy places the organism in Eukaryota, Viridiplantae, Streptophyta, Magnoliopsida, Solanales, Convolvulaceae. The record is from Rfam.
GUGCAUUUAAUGUAGUGGUAUCAUAGUACCCUCCCACGGUACUGACUGGGAUUCAAUUCCCUGAAUGCGCA